RNAcentral lists this ribosomal RNA (402 nucleotides) under uncultured prokaryote. Its description in RNAcentral is "bacterial SSU rRNA". It matches the Rfam family "Bacterial small subunit ribosomal RNA", at positions 355 to 774 of the family's 1533-position model. The record is from RNAcentral.
UGGGGAAUCUUCGACAAUGGGCGCAAGCCUGAUCUAGCCAUGCCGCGUGAGCGAUGAAGGCCUUAGGGUUGUAAAGCUCUUUCAGUGGGGAAGAUAAUGACUGUACCCACAGAAGAAGCCCCGGCUAACUCCGUGCCAGCAGCCGCGGUAAUACGGAGGGGGCUAGCGUUGUUCGGAAUUACUGGGCGUAAAGCGCACGUAGGCGGACCGGAAAGUCAGAGGUGAAAUCCCAGGGCUCAACCUUGGAACUGCCUUUGAAACUCCUGGUCUUGAGGUCGAGAGAGGUGAGUGGAAUUCCGAGUGUAGAGGUGAAAUUCGUAGAUAUUCGGAGGAACACCAGUGGCGAAGGCGGCUCACUGGCUCGAUACUGACGCUGAGGUGCGAAAGCGUGGGGAGCAAACA